GCGAAAACUUUACAAUGCGGGGAACCGCGAUAAGGGGACACCGAGUGCCAGCAUCCUAUGUUGGCUGUCCAUAUGUCUAAAUCACAUGUGUUAGCAAGGGCCGGGCAAGACCGGUGCCAGCCGCCGCGGUAACACCGGCGGCCCGAGUGGUGGCCACUAUUAUUGGGUCUAAAGGGUCCGUAGCCGGUUUGGCCAGUCUUCCGGGAAAUCUGACGGCUUAACCGUUAGGCUUUCGGGGGAUACUACCAGGCUUGGGACCGGGAGAGGUAAGAGGUACUACGGGGGUAGGAGUGAAAUCUUGUAAUCCCUGUGGGACCACCAGUGGCGAAGGCGUCUUACGAGAACGGGUCCGACGGUGAGGGACGAAAGCUGGGGGCACGAACC
Molecule: ribosomal RNA, 384 nt
Filed under: uncultured prokaryote
Description: bacterial SSU rRNA
Rfam family: Archaeal small subunit ribosomal RNA
Source: RNAcentral